AUGAAGAACGUAGCGAAAUGCGAUAAGUAAUGUGAAUUGCAGAAUUCAGUGAAUCAUCGAAUCUUUGAACGCACAUUGCGCCCCCCAGUAUUCUGGCGGGCAUGCCUGUUCGAGCGUCAUUUCAACCAUCAAGCCCUGCUUGUGUUGGGGUCCUGCGGCUGCCCGCAGGCCCUGAAAACCAGUGGCGGGCUCGCUAGUCACACCGAGCGCAGUAGCACAUCUCGCUCAGGGCGUGCGGCGGGCUCCAGCCGUUAAAGCACCCACCUUUCGCAAGGUUGACCUCGGAUCAGGUAGGAAUACCCGCUGAACUUAAGCAUAUCAAUAAGCGGAGGA
Molecule: unclassified non-coding RNA, 333 nt
Filed under: soil metagenome
Description: partial contains 5.8S ribosomal RNA, internal transcribed spacer 2, and large subunit ribosomal RNA
Rfam family: 5.8S ribosomal RNA (bases 1-119)
Source: RNAcentral